Molecule: long non-coding RNA, 337 nt
Filed under: Homo sapiens (human)
Lineage: Eukaryota; Metazoa; Chordata; Mammalia; Primates; Hominidae
Description: HSALNT0362445
Source: RNAcentral
AAAUAAUCCUGUCAUACAGUGACCAUUCAGAGAGGGAUAAAAACCUUAUAUAUGAAACUUUCACUAAUAACCUGAAACAUCACCACAGAGACAGUUGGGUUAUCCUGUUUGUUUGGACAUCCACUUAUUCACUUGAAAUGCAGGAAAUCUAUUUGAAAAAAACAAAACAAAACAUGAUCAGUUACUUGAUACAAUCAUGAGAUGUGAUCGAGAAAAACUUAUUAAGGAAUUAUUUUGUCAGAGUCAGUCUCUCUCAACAAGCACUUCUCUUUAUUGCUGCCAUGUGAAAAAGGACAUGAUUGUAAGUUUCCUGAGGUCUCCACAUCCAUGCAGAACU